UCUGCAGCUUCGCAACCGCAGUUUUAUAGGGAAAAAGGUUCCUUAGCAGUUCCUCGUUGGUUUGAAAAGGGUUGUUUGGUUUUCUUGCUGUCUGUCUGUCUUUUUUUUAACACUUCAUGGUGUUUCUUCUCCUCUUUUCCUGUCCCCCUUUUCCGUGGCCGGAGUCCAAACGACGAGAAAAAGAGAGUUUCAGCACCAAGGAAAGGAGGGGGAAAAAAAAAGGAACGCGGCUGAUGCUUUAAAAAAAUAAAAAUAAAAUAAGAGCAGAGCCUUGAAAUUUCAGCAAGAAAUUGAAUGCAUAUCGACUCAAGGAUUUAUCAGCCAAAGAUUCCAUUUUAGCACCUUCCUAUUAGGACUAAAUAUAGGAGACAUAACAUGAACAGAUCCAACUGGAAUGAUUCACAGGCUUUUAUCUUCCUGGUCACCUGUUUGAGGAACAAUGGAAUGAUCAGAUCAUCAUCGUCUUCAUGAGCUUCGGAUGGGAAGUGGCAGCUUUUACAGUCAACAGCACUUCCUCCCAGGUGGAAGAGUCCUGGAAUUGUUUUCAUGACUCCCUCCACGAGGUUGGCUGAAUCCCUGCGGAAAUGUAUGAAAUUGUGCUUCUGAUGCCUGGCCAUUUGCUACUGAAUCCUUAUGGUACCAUUGCAGGACUCUAUGAUGAGCCUCUCAAAGCAGCUUAAACCAUCCUAGAAUAUCCGAUCUGAUUUAGAAGACAGUUAGAAACCUUUCUGUGUAUUUUUAAACUCCAGCAGUGGUAACAUCUACACAUCAGGAAGAAACUGAGGCAGGAAGAGAAGCAGACUGCCCAAACUUUGCUAAAAGCAUCUUGUAAAGUAAAGGAAUCUCUUAGGGAGCAUGACAGGAGGGCAAUACAGGUGUGUAGAAAAUAUGUUUUGGGUUUCACAUUUGUCUGACUAUCUUUUUUUGUGCAUAAAGCUAAAUGGAUUUAAGAACAAAUCUUGCUGUUGCUGAGAUACCCAUUUUAUUCCUAAAAAAUCUCUGAGCCAAUACUCAGAGGUGGUUGGAUCUUUGACUUUUGAAUUGCUGCCUCCAACAUAACACACAAAGCUUCCUACAGACCAUAAACCAUCAGAAAUAAUGCCCCUCUGCCUUACAGGAUGUCCUCAACUUAUGACAACAAUUGGAGGCAGAAUUUUCAUUGCUCAGCAAGGCGGUUGUUAAGUGAGUUAUCUCCAAUUUUAUGACAUUUUUUGCCACAGUUAAAUGAUUCACAGCAGCUGUUCAGUGAUUCAUGCAGUCAUUAAGUGAAUCCAUCUCCCCCAAUUGAUUUUGCUUAUGGGAAAAUUGCAAAGGGUGAUCAUAUGACCCCAGUAAGCUGGAACCAAUGUAAAUUCUUAUUGGUUGUCAACACCCAAAUUUUGAUGUAACCAUGGGAAUGCUGCGAUGGUCGUAAGUGCAAGGACUUGUUAUAAGUCACUUUUUUCAAUGUUGUAACUUAAAAUGGUUGCUUAAAAAAUGGUUGUUAGUCAAGGAUUACCUGUGAGGGAUCUGCAACACUGCUGAGUGUUGUGCAAAAUCAAGUUUAUUAAAAACAACAGAUCCCACAAUACAAUUGCAUUAAAACAUGCUACUUGAGAUAUUGGUUGUUUACUCUUCUUUAAAUGCCCAACUUGAUUGGUUGAAAAAGAUUGAAAAGUAAAAUGCAUUUAAAACCUACUUAAAGGAAGGCUGUUGUAAUGUCCUGCUGGGCGUGAGCUCCAUGUAAGCAGCCACCCUAAAAUCCAGCUUCAAAUGGCAGCCGGUUAAAAUAGCUGUCAUUAGAGGCCUUCCUAGUCGUAGUAAUCUUACUUCAUAUAUUUGCAAACAAAGAGGAUAGCACUGAUUAGUCUUCUUCAAACACUUUGCUCUCCAGAAGAGAAGGCUUAGGGGAUUCUCAUCAUUUCCAAACAGCAUCUAAUGGUGUUUCCCCCAUUUUUAGGGAAUAAGACUAAUGUUACCACAUUAGGAAUCAGGAUCCAUGCACAACAAUGUUUUGAAGUCCUGCAGUUUGGCCGAACUGGCAUUUGAACUCUUGAUCCAGUUCUAGUACCACAAUGACCGCACUUAAACUAUCAAUAACAACCUCAAAGUAGCUCAGGGAAGUUUAAGGAAGUGAAUUCUGUGAAGAACAACUGGGGGCUCACAGGGCACAAUCAGCCUUAAAAAAAUGACUGGAGGUGGAGUAAUAGCUCUCUUCAAGUAUCUGAAGAAGUAUCCUACAGAUAAAGAUAACUCUCUAGAGCAUGGAAUAACAACUUUCUGUCUUCUCAUGGAAAGGCAAAUUCCAGAAGUUUAUGAAAAAGUCUAUUAAUGAUAGUGGCAAUUAAAAUAGAUAGUCCUUGAUAUACAACCAAAACUGAACCCAUUUUCCAUUGCAAAGCAAGACAGUUGUUAAGUGAGUUUCCCCCCAUUUUACCACUCUUCUUCCCACAGAUGUUAAGUGAAUCACUGCAGUUGUUAACUAAGUAAAAAAAAGUGAAUCUGGCUUCCCCACUGAUGGAAAGACUUCAAACGUUAUGGUGUGUAGAGGUUGCCUCUUUAAAAAUCAGGUCAUUGUACCCUUUCCUAAUGGCUGCUGAGUACAAUUCAAGGCCCUGUUUAUUACCUACAUAGCCCUUCUUGACUUAAAUUCUGAUUUUACAGGGAUUGCCCAUUUUUUAUAGUACCUCCUCAUCCAAUAACAUCCAAUUGAGUGGAUGUUCUUUGUGUUUGUGUGUGUGUGCGUCAUUGUUGACUCUUGACAUCUGUUGGACAAAUUCCUGCAGUUUUCUUGACACAUUUUCAGAUGUGGUUUGCCAUUGCCUCCUUCCUAGGACUGAGAGUGAGUGACUGGCCCAAGGUCACCCAGCUGGCUUUGUGCCUAAAGUAAGAUUAGAACUCAUAAUCUCCUGUUUUGUAGCCUGAUGCCCUUCAACACUACAUCAACCCUGGCUCUCACAGUAACCGGCAUGUUUUAAAGAAACUAAAUAGAACUGCAAUGUUUGAGAAUAUAGAUGAGAGGCAGACAAAAAAUAUAUUGGCUUCAGAAUGAAAAAUGGAACACUUGAACACAUCUUCUUAUAUACCAUAAGUGGAAAAAGAGAUUGGCUCAUAAAUUAUUAUUCACCUAGAAAGCACCACAUUUAUGAGUUCAACUUUAUUGGUCUUAUCCACUAUUGGAGGAAAAAGGGCAAAAUAUGCAUCAAAAUGUGAUUUAUGAAUCGCAAUUAAAAUAAUGUUAAAUUAUAUUGUGUGUCAUUUUCAAUGUGUAAUAAUUAAAGAUGUACUGGGGAAAAAAGGAGAGGAGAAGACAAGUUGGGAGACACCCUUGCAACAUUUCAUGAUCUCCCUCCUUCCAGCCUAACGUAGCACAGCAAAUUCUCUCAUUAAAUACCUCUGAUGAAGAAAGGAAGUAAUUAGAGACAAAAGUGGAAAGCCUGGAGGGUCUGCUUCAUUUUUUGACUUCAGAACAAAACUCUCUUUCAGAAAAGAGAAACCUGAGUUUCAACAACAAUACCCUUCAUUUUAGAAAAAAAAAAAA
Non-coding RNA from Thamnophis sirtalis, 3520 nucleotides. NCBI's taxonomy places the organism in Eukaryota, Metazoa, Chordata, Lepidosauria, Squamata, Natricidae. The record is from RefSeq and is a predicted model, not a curated record.